Molecule: long non-coding RNA, 667 nt
Organism: Parambassis ranga (Indian glassy fish)
Lineage: Eukaryota; Metazoa; Chordata; Actinopteri; Ambassidae
Source: Ensembl
AGCUAGGGGGUGGAAGAUAGGAGAGGAGAGGCAUAGACUUUGCUAUAACUGACUUUUGUUGUUCUUGCUUGCAUUCUUCUCCUUUUUAAAUCGGCCCCCUUUUCACAUUGUGUGUCGCCAUAAACGGCUUUUCUUGUUGCAGGGCUAGCGGAGAGAAGACAGCGGAGCUCCACACACACAGACAGCGGGGCUGCGCGGGGCUGCACGCCGACCAAAACACACCGGCUGCCGGGAUCGAAACCGCGCGGACUACCGUAUAGGGGGAGCCGGAAUAGACGGAAGGGGGGAGAUGCAGGACGGAUGGUGUCUGGAGCUCUGCUCCGGACAGACCGAGGCUCCCUCAUCGGAGGGUGAAGCCAGAGGAUACGAAGGGAGAUUGAAGCGAAAUGGCAUCUUGUUUAAUUUCUGCCAAUCAAGACGAGAGGAAGACAACUCCCAAACUGGCAUGCCUCCGGAUGGCCCCGGCAAGACAAAGUUUGUUGCCAGUUUCCUAAAAAGUGGGGGGAAGAUUAUUCCACCAAAAUACAUCCCCAGAGGCUGGCAGGGCCCGGUCAAGGUGUUCCCCAUCCAUCCGUCCAUCCAUCCAUCCAUCCAUCUCCCCUUCUGUUCCUCGCGUGCAGAGUCUGGCUGUCGCAGCUCGAGGAUAUUUAGCCUGCAACAGGUGUGA